Molecule: long non-coding RNA, 4835 nt
Filed under: Aquilegia coerulea
Lineage: Eukaryota; Viridiplantae; Streptophyta; Magnoliopsida; Ranunculales; Ranunculaceae
Description: long non-coding RNA (ACOE_LNC002225)
Source: RNAcentral
CAUGAUAAAGGUUCAUACAAAGUACAUACUAGCACUUUAAACUUUAAGAAAUUGAGAACAAGCUGCUCUUUUCACAAACUCACAAUGUUUUGAAAGACAACAUUACAGAGUAGGCAUAAAGAAAACUGGACGAGAAAACUUAGACAAUUGAUGAUCAUCAAAAUAAAAAGGCUCUACAAUAUGAUUCUUGAUAUCAUAGAUUCCCAUGUCGCAGAAGCCUUUUUCAUAAAAGUCGGAUUGGUCGUCAGUGAAGUAGAUGCAGUUCCCCUUUUAUUCUGGGUAGUCAGAGGUUGAGAUGGCAUAAGAAGUAUUAUUCCCUAGAAACAAAGCAUGGUCACUCAAAUCUUCUACCUCCGCCCACGUCUUUGAAUGAAAAUCAAACUUGUAUACCACAAAAUAUGUUGUUUCAUUGUGGUAGUCGUAUGCAGGUGUAUCGUCAAUACCAUUGAAAGCUCGUUCAACCAUGCAAAGAUCCCCAGACAAUUCGACGAGAUAAAAUUUGCUACAAACAUAUAUAUUAUCUGGGGAUGAUGCAAAAUCUUUUGCUUUAGGCUGAGGUGUGUUGACCUCACAAAUCCUUAGCAUUCCUUCAGUAGUAACACCAUAAAACUGACCAUUGAAGAAUAUGACGUCUUGGUAGUUUAACUCAGAACAUUCCACAGAUGUCCAAGCUUCAUCUCCAGGAGAAGCAACAGCAAGAUAGCAGAGUUCUCCAUAUACAGCCCUAACCAAUGGGCAUUGUCCAGACUCGAAAGUAAAUGGAUCAGAUGAAAGAGCAAAUCUUUUAAGACACGUCUGACAAAGUUCUUCAGGCGUACUAUGACCUCUAUAUUGGUGUUCAAACAUAGGUUGUGAAGGUAGAGAUAUUUGAACACGGGAUAAUGGAUGUAAAAGAUGGAUAUUAAGGUCAAGACCAAAGGUGAGCAGGUGUCAGUUGGGCUCAACUGGUAAAACCUCUGGGUGAUGAUACCAGAGGUCUGGGGUUCGAAUCCCGCCAGCAUUACGAGUUACUGAUCUCAUUAAAAACAGGCUUACCACAACAUUUUUGCGAAUGAGCCUGUGGCUGAAUGGUAGCACCCCUCUCACAAAGUGGAGAGGUCGUGGGUUCGAAACACGUCAACAGCGGAUUGUUGAUAUAAGUUUCCACACGUAAUUUAAAAGGGGUAGGGGUCCCCACAACCUCGCUUACCAACCAAAAAAAAAAAGCAACCAACCAUAUGGAGUUCCCCAACAUCUUGUUCUAUUAGCUUGAGGCAAAUAAUAAUUGAAAAGCCUUUUGGUAGAAUGACAAUAAAAGGAACGAAUUGAUCCUUUCUUAAACUGUUUGUCGUUUUUAGUUUUAGCUAACAUUAGCCAAGGAGCACAAGGGAUGAUACAACCCUUUAGUUUUUUCACAACAAAAUGCCAUGACUUGCAAACGCAACUAAAUCGCGCAAAUUCAUUAGGAUAAGGUGGUAGUCGUUUGAAAACAAGAUCAAUGUUUCUUCGGGCAAUUCAGACCAAUUUGCCAUAAUACAAUAGUAGUUGUACAAGAAGAGAACAACUUUUCAGAAUUUCUUCUAACAAUUCUCUAGGUAACAACAAAUAUGGUGAUGGGGUUGGUAUUAGAAUACUCAAAUUCCUCUAGCUAGUGAGUCCUAAUAUUUUCAGAAAUCCAAAUUAUAAAAUGUUUAACAAAAAAAAAAAGGCAAUUUCUAUUUUCUAAAGUUAAAAACUUAAAACAACUUACCAUGAACAAGCACUAGCAGAAGCAGAAGCAGAACAACAACAACAGCAGAACAAAGAGAAGCCCUCAAGUCUUAAACCAAAAUAGAAAGAGACAGGCAGAUGAUGAUCUAGGGUUCAGUUGGAAAUAAUAUCAGAAACCCAUCCAAUCACCAGAUUUAAGAAAUCCUUCAAACUCUUGAUUGGAACUUGGAAGAUUGAAGGUAGAGGUAACAAAAAACUCCAAGCUCACUGGUAUUAGAAUUCUCAAAUUCCUCUAGCUAGUGAAUCCUAAUGCUUUCAAGAAUCCAAAUUUUAAAACGUUUAACAAGGCAAUUUCUAAAGUUAAAUCUUUAGCUUACCUUUGAAGACGCACUAGCUUAGCAGAACAGCAAGAAGAGAAAUCAUUGAAGAAAAUCCCCAAAUCUAUCAAACUCUUGAUUGAAGACUGAAGAGUGUGAGAAAGGGAUUAAAAACUCCAAGCUCACUGAUUUGAUUUGGACCUUUGGCAAAAGUAAAAGUAGUUUGAGAGUUUUCUUAUAUUUAAAAAAUGGUCCCUAUAUCUUCACUUUAUCAAUAAAACCCCAAACUUCAAACCAAAUAAAAAUUGGGUACAUAUUUCCUGUACAACUUCAAGUCUUCAACCAAAUAAGAAUUAUAUUGAAUCUUAGGUAGUGGGUUGAACUGCGUAUAUGUGUGUUGAGACUUGGGAGAUCACUUAACUUCCAAAUAAUAACACAAUCAGGUAAGAAUUGCAUGAUGCAUUGAUACUGUCGGAAAUUUGCAGCUAGCUGCAAGGUUUCGAGAGAACUUGGCUAUGUGAAUGCAUUUUGGUUGAUGGACGUUUUGUCGAGGCGACCCCAGUUUAUGCAGAUCCACUGGUUUUGGGAUAGACAAGGGUGGUAAUGUGGUAUGCAUUUUAUAAUUUGCAUAAUAGAAAAAAUAAAAAAAAUAAAAAAAAAACCUCUCGCUCGAAAAUGACCCCUGUUUAAUGACUUCACAGAGAUUCAGGUUUGACAGAGGCCACUUCUACUUGAUAUUUCAUCAGUCUUGACUGUAAUGAAUAUUAGUGUAUCUAAAUAAAACAUCUGCAUACAAUAUUUUGGGAACUUAAACAUAGUUAUCAGGCUAUGUUUUCAUAAAAAAAAAGGGCUUACAUUAGAGCACUUAUUACACAGAGUUGUGCAAAAUCAUUGGAAGCUUAUCUGAGUUCUAAACUUACAAUGUAUUCACUUUAUCUAACCUACUUUUCUUCUGAUACAUAUAUUCAAAUGUAGGCAUUUUCGUUAACGUAGCUUAAAUGUCUUAAGAGGUAAUUAUCAUCCACAAAUCAAAUCUCAAUAGAUUAAGAAGACUAGUAGAGGCUGUGAAUAUAACAAGUAAACACACUCCGACCUUCUGUCAAUGGUAACACCAAAACCAAAUUUCUGAUCAGCAAAGUCAAAUUAAAGUUGGAUACUAUGUAGGCCUUAAUUGCCUCCGAGCUAAAAGUUGCUGCAGAGCCACAGAAGAUCAAUUUAGCAGAAGCAGACUGCACCCACUGCCACUGGCAUGUUCCAAAUGCAACAGGAGUUAAUAGAUAAACAAAGUGCUUCGAGAACCAGAUGCUCAUGGACUCAUGGUUUGUGAGAAGAGGUUUAUCAGUAAGAGUCAUCUCCAUGAUAAAUAACAUUGUUUUCAAUGAAAAUAAAAUCUUGUUUGGCCAAUUAUAUAGUGUUGAAAGGAGCAGGCAAUUUGAAGUUCACAACUGAAUUACUUGAGCCCAUUAAAGUUCACAAAGUCAAUUGCGAACAAACUCAGCAGCAAGGUGCUGAGGCUAUUUUACUUCCGUCAUUUUGCAUCUUAGUGUGAUGAUCUGAUCUUGCAAUCUGCCUUUUCUGCGUACCUUGACAGGGAAGAAUGGACUAAGACAAAAAAAAAAAAAAAUCUACAUGACACACUUGAUUUUUAAGGAUCAACCAGCCACAAGUACAAAAUAAUCUCAAGAUGACAGUAAAACCACAUCAACCAGAUCUACACAGAAAUCAAAAUCUCUUAAACCAGAUAUGAGGGAAUCAAAUAGAUGGAUCAAACAAUCAAGUACAUUAAACCAAAUAGAAUGCAAACAAAUCAAACCAAAUUAUAACUCACUCACGGCUGGCUUUCAAAUCAUUUGACCAAGAAAAAGUUGUACAAUUGCUUAACUACGGAAAUAAUAAAAUUAAUUUAAAUGCCAUACAUUGACACAAUGAUGUAAAAGAUAUUGUAUCAUUACAGAGUAGGCAUAAAGAAAACCGGGCGAGAAAACGUAGAAAGUUGAUGAUCAUCAAAAUUAAAAGGCUCUAUCGUGUUAUUCUCGAUAUCAUAGAUUCCCAUGUCGCAGAAGCCAUGAGGAUAAAAGUCAGAAUGGUCGUCAGUGAAGUAGAUGCAAUUCUCUUUAAAUUCUGGGUAGUCCGAAGUUGAGAUGGCAAAAGAAGUAUUAUUCCCUAGAAACAAAGCAUGGUCACCCAAAUCUUCUACCUCAGUCCACGCCUUUGAACGAAAAUCAAACCUGUACACCACAAAAUAUGUUGUUUCGUUGUGGCAGGGUAUUGUAGGUAGAUCAUCGGUGGUAUCGAAAGCUCGUUCCACCAUGUAAAGAUCCCCAGACAAUUCGACGAGAUAAAAUCUGCUACAAAUAUAAACAUUGUCUGGGGGUGAUGCAAAAUCUGUUGCUUUAGGCUGCCGUGUGUUGACCUCAAUAAUUCUUAACAUUCCAUCACAAGAAAUAGCAUAAAAGUGGCCAUUGAAGAAUAUGAUGUCUUGGUAGUUUGACCUAGAACAAUCCACGGAUGUCCAAACUUCAUCUCCAGGAGAAGCAACAGCAAGAUAGCGUAUUUCUCCAUAUAUAGCCAUAACCAAAGGGCAUUGUCCAGACUCAGGGAUAGAUGGAUCAGAUGAAAGAGCAAAUUUUGUAAAGUAACUCUGACAAAGGUGUUCAGGACAAUACGCAUCGAAUUGGUGUUGGUGUUCAAACGUGGGCUGUGAUGGAAGAGAUAUUUGAACACGGGAUAAUGGAUGUAAAAGAUGGAUUUUAAGGUCAAGACCAAAGGUGAGCAACCAACCAUAUGGAGUUCCCCAACAUCUUGUUCGUUUAGCUUGAGGCAAAUAAU